AAUGAGCGUUGGCGGCGUGGAUUAGGCAUGCAAGUCGAGCGCGAACCCCGCAAGGGGUGAAAGCGGCGAAAGGGAGAGUAACGCGUGGGUAUCUGCCCUCGGGACUGGGAUAGCUGCGGGAAACUGCAGGUAAUACCAGAUGACGUCCCCGGACCAAAGGUGUGAUUCCGCCUGAGGAUGAGCCCGCGUCCUAUUAGCUAGUUGGUAGGGUAAUGGCCUACCAAGGCAAUGAUGGGUACUGGGUGUGAGAGCACGACCCAGCUCACUGGGACUGAGACACUGCCCAGACACCUAGGGGUGGCUGCAGUCGAGAAUCGUCGGCAAUGGGCGAAAGCCUGACCGAGCGACGCCGCGUGUGGGAUGAAGGCCUUCGGGUUGUAAACCGCUGUCAGAGGGGGGGAAUGGGCGGAGGGUAAUCUCUUCGUUUUGACCUAUCCUCAGAGGAAGUACGGGCUAAGUUCGUGCCAGCCGCCGCAGUAA
Molecule: ribosomal RNA, 480 nt
Filed under: uncultured bacterium
Lineage: Bacteria
Description: partial 16S ribosomal RNA
Rfam family: Bacterial small subunit ribosomal RNA
Source: RNAcentral